This 502-nucleotide ribosomal RNA is filed under the name uncultured bacterium. RNAcentral describes it as "bacterial SSU rRNA". It matches the Rfam family "Bacterial small subunit ribosomal RNA", at positions 30 to 507 of the family's 1533-position model. The record is from RNAcentral.
AUGAACGCUGGCGGCGCAUUUAAGACAUGCAAGUCGAACGAAAAUACUUCAAUUAAAACGGAAGAAAGAUUUAUCUUUAAGAAGUUUUGCCCGAAGUGUUUUAGUGGCGGACGGGUGAGUAAUGCAUAGAUAAUCUGCCUUUUAGAGAGAAAUAACAGGAAGAAAUUCCUGCUAAUGUCACAUAAGACCACACUACCGCAUGAUAGAGAGGUCAAAGGGGAAACCCGCUAGAAGAUGAGUCUAUGUCUGAUUAGCUAGUUGGUAAGGUAAGAGCUAACCAAGGCGAUGAUCAGUAGCCGAGCUGAGAGGCUGGCCGGCCACAUUGGGACUGAGACACGGCCCAGACUCCUACGGGAGGCAGCAGUUGGGAAUAUUGGACAAUGGAGGAAACUCUGAUCCAGUGACGCCGCGUGAAGGAAGAAGGUCUUCGGAUUGUAAACUUAUUUUAUCAGGGAAGAAACAAAUGACUGUACCUGAAGAAGAAGGACCGGCUAACUACGUG